Molecule: ribosomal RNA, 438 nt
Filed under: uncultured Pseudomonadota bacterium
Lineage: Bacteria; Pseudomonadati; Pseudomonadota
Description: bacterial SSU rRNA
Rfam family: Bacterial small subunit ribosomal RNA
Source: RNAcentral
GGCAACGGGUGAGUAACAUGUAGGUAUCUGCCCUUUGGCCUGGAAUAACACGAGGAAACUUGUGCUAAUACCGGAUAAGUCUUUACGGAGAAAGCUUUAUGCACCAUUGGAUGAGCCUGCACUUGAUUAGUUUGUUGGUGGGGUAAUGGCCUACCAAGACUUUGAUCAAUAGCUGAUUUGAGAGGAUGAUCAGCCACAUUGGGACUGAGACACGGCCCAAACUCCUACGGGAGGCAGCAGUGGGGAAUCUUGCACAAUGGAGGAAACUCUGAUGCAGCGAUGCCGCGUGAGUGAAGAAGGCCUUUGGGUUGUAAAGCUCUUUCGUCGGGGAAGAAAAUGACUGUACCCGAAUAAGAAGGUCCGGCUAACUUCGUGCCAGCAGCCGCGGUAAUACGAAGGGACCUAGCGUAGUUCGGAAUUACUGGGCUUAAAGAGUUC